This 433-nucleotide ribosomal RNA is filed under the name uncultured bacterium. RNAcentral describes it as "partial 16S ribosomal RNA". It matches the Rfam family "Bacterial small subunit ribosomal RNA", at positions 29 to 507 of the family's 1533-position model. The record is from RNAcentral.
AACGAACGCUGGCGGCAUGCCUAACGCAUGCAAGUCGAACGAGACCUUCGGGUCUAGUGGCGCACGGGUGCGUAACGCGUGGGAACCUGCCCUUAGGUUCGGAAUAACUCCCCGAAAGGGGUGCUAAUACCGGAUAAUGUCUUCGGACCAAAGAUUUAUCGCCUUUGGAUGGGCCCGCGUUGGAUUAGCUAGUUGGUAGGGUAAAAGCCUACCAAGGCGACGAUCCAUAGCUGGUCUGAGAGGAUGAUCAGCCACACUGGGACUGAGACACGGCCCAGACUCCUACGGGAGGCAGCAGUGGGGAAUAUUGGACAGUGGGCGAAAGCCUGAUCCAGCAAUGCCGCGUGAGUGAUGAAGGCCUUAGGGUUGUAAAGCUCUUUUACCCGGGAUGAUAAUGACAGUACCGGGAGAAUAAGCUCCGGCUAACUCCGUG